UUCGCAAUGCCCGAAAGGGUGACGAAGCGACGCCGCGUGUGGGAAGAAGGCCUUCGGGUUGUAAACCACCGUCGGAAGUUAAGAAAUGUAAGGGUGUUAAUAGCGCCUUUACUUGACAAAGGCUCCGGAGGAAGCCACGGCUAACUCUGUGCCAGCAGCCGCGGUAAUACAGAGGCGGCAAGCGUUGUUCGGAAUUAUUGGGCGUAAAGAGCACGUAGGCGGCUUUGCAAGUCAGUUGUGAAAGCCUUCCGCUUAACGGAAGAACAGCAGCUGAUACUACAGAGCUUGAGUACGGGAGGGGAGAGUGGAACUUCUGGUGGAGCGGUGAAAUGCGUAGAUAUCAGAAGGAACGCCGGCGGCGAAAGCGAUUCUCUGGUCCGAAACUGACGCUGAGUGUGCGAAAGCUAGGGGAUCAAACGGGAUUAGAUACCCCGGUAGUCCUAGCCGUAAACGAUGGGCACUAAGUAGAGGGGUUUU
This 477-nucleotide ribosomal RNA is filed under the name uncultured Planctomycetota bacterium. RNAcentral describes it as "bacterial SSU rRNA". It matches the Rfam family "Bacterial small subunit ribosomal RNA", at positions 365 to 832 of the family's 1533-position model. Lineage: Bacteria; Pseudomonadati; Planctomycetota. The record is from RNAcentral.